UCUGGAGAGCCACAGCUGCCCACUCCUGCCAGGAGCAGGCUCUGGCCAGAGACACUUUGGGUCUGAGGCAGUGACUUAGAUCCCCGCUCCACAGACCGGCAGGUCCCCAGCGCUCUGCUCCGCUCUUGCCAUGGGGGACACUGGUGGGCCGUAACGUCCCAGAGUGGGGAUGUCUUGGGAGGAGUGAUGAUGGGCAGAUGCACCUCCCCCUGUGGCGGCCAGAGGUCCCGAACAGCUCUCCAGCUCUCCAGCUCUCCAGCUCUCCACUCUGCUUCCUGGAGAACUGGAGUUGCGAUCAGCAGCUCCCGCCUCACCCCUGCCUGCACCCUAGAGCCAGGCAUGGCAGGCUCACCCGGGCCACUGCCCCUCCUCAUCACAGAUGAGGAGACUGAGGCACACAGCGCUCAAGGCACCUGGACAAGGUCUUGACUCAUGCAGCCUGGCCUAGAUGCCAGCCCGGCACCACCCCUGGAUGACAGAAAGCACAGAGGCAGGGUGGUGUCAGACCAGCACGCCAGGUAGAGAGAAGAAACUACUCCUGGGAGCCAUGGCCAGCAGUGCGGAUGAGAGACAAGGGCUGUUGAGCAGUCAGGAAGCCUCUAGCCACCUUCAGGGAGGCAGCUAAAAGGACCCACCAAGGGCACCUGGCUGAAUCUGCUCCACACGAACUGGGCCCGGGGGGAAUGAUCCUCCAGAAGAAAGGCUCAUCUUUGGAAGACGGCGGCGAGUUUGAGCAUUUGUGUUCCCUCCCAAGCGUACGUGGAAUUAAUCCUCGAGUCCACGGUGUCGGGUGGUGUGGCCAUGGGGGAGUCACCCUCACGAAGAGAUUAGCCGCCCUCAAAAGGGGACUGACAAAGGUACUUGAGCCCUUCCACCCCCUCCUACUCCGUGAGGACAGAACCCCCCACACCCCACACCCCCGGAACCAGCACUCCAGACGCCAUCUCGGAAGGAGAGGGAGAGCUCUGACCACCAGCAAGCCUUUCGGUACCCUGCCCUUGCACUCACCAGGCUGAAAAUAAAUGCUAGUGUCGGUACAGGAGCACAGGCAGGCUGCUUAAGGACAUUAGAGGCGGGAGAGCAAAGGAGAGGCGGGACAGGACUACUGCCUGCAUGCUGUUACUGGCUGAGAACUGGGCCAGAAAGGAGGAGACUAGCAGGAGUUGGAGAGGGUGAUGCCAGGUGCUGUUCACCGCGUUGAUGUCCCGAUGGGAGGUUCCUAAGAAGGUGACGGGAGGACUCCUGUGGGACUCACAGUUGUGAUUUAGCCGGCAGCAACAUUUGCACAGGGGAAUGACAGCUCUGAGUCUGAGACUGCUCACAGUAGCACCAUUCUCCAUAUUGAAAGGCUGAGGGGACCACAGAGAAACUGUUAACUAAAUAAAGGUGUAUCCCAGGACUGCAGAGCUCCAGAUGUGCCAGUGCCACUGAACCCCCGUGCUAACAGAUGCCCAAAGCCCCAGCACAGCUUCCAGCAGCAUUCAGCUCCCUGUCACAAUGCUGAAGGACUUACUGCUUGUUCAGAUGACGUGACAUGCUGUGGCUAGAACGCCUCUCCCAAAGGUCGUGUGUUGAAAGCUAUGAUGAGUAUUCUGAGAGGUGAGGCUGUGAGGAGGGGACAGGUCACGAGGGCGCCGUCCUCAUGAGUGAAUUAAUCCAUUCGUGGACGGCUGGGUUAUCACAGCAGUGGCUGUUGCAAAGCUGAUCUCUCCUGCAGACCUCUGCCACCGCUCAACUCCAUGACCCGGCAGGAAAGCCUUUCCAGGAGGCUCGCCACAUGCCGGUACCCUGCUCUCGGACUUCCUGGCCUCCAGAACCAUGCACUAGGUAAACCUCUACCUUGAGUGGGGGGACUAAUUCAAGAUUUAACCCGGGGAGUGCUAAGGUACACACCUAGCCCUUUUCAUUUUAUUUAUUUAUUGAGACAGAGUCUUACUAAGUUGCUGAGACUGGCCUCAAACUUGUAAUCCUCCUGCCUCAGCCUUCCAAGUAGCUGAGAUGACAGGCCAGUGCCACCACACAUGGCUAAACUUUGGUUCUUUAUACAUUACCCAAUCUGUGGUAUGCAGUUAUAGCCACAGAAAAUGGACUUCGACACCCAGUGAUGGGCUCCUGACCUCUCCAAGCAUUUUCUAAGUAAGGGCUUGCAAAGAAGACUCUUUCCUGUCUCUGAGAUGUGUGGCUAUCUCCUACAACUCAGGACUGUAUCUCUCAAGGACCUGAAGGCCAUUCCCUUGAAAUGUUUUCCCCAAGAAAUCUCUGUGGGAGGACACAGUCCUCACUUUCAUCAUUGCAGCUGGCAGACACAGCUGGUCUAAUCACUCUGACACUGACCAGCUCUGCCAUUUGUCACCACACACACAUUCUCCCACUAAAGUGCUCAGUCAACCCUAUGUGAAUCAGAAC
Molecule: long non-coding RNA, 2406 nt
Filed under: Heterocephalus glaber (naked mole-rat)
Lineage: Eukaryota; Metazoa; Chordata; Mammalia; Rodentia; Bathyergidae
Description: lncRNA (ENSHGLG00000038299.1)
Source: RNAcentral